UACGUAGGGGGCGAGCGUUGUCCGGAAUUAUUGGGCGUAAAGAGCUCGUAGGCGGCUUGGCAAGUCACGUGUGAAAUCUCCAGGCUCAACCUGGCGAUGCCACGUGAUACUGCCAUGGCUUGAGUCCGGUAGGGGACCAUGGAAUUCCUGGUGUAGCGGUGAAAUGCGCAGAUAUCAGGAGGAACACCAGUGGCGAAGGCGGUGGUCUGGGCCGGUACUGACGCUGAGGAGCGAAAGCGUGGGGAGCGAACAGG
RNAcentral lists this ribosomal RNA (254 nucleotides) under uncultured bacterium. RNAcentral's name for it is "partial 16S ribosomal RNA". It matches the Rfam family "Bacterial small subunit ribosomal RNA", at positions 524 to 776 of the family's 1533-position model. The record is from RNAcentral.